AGCAGGAGUGAGUUUAUGACACCAUCUGCAUUUAUCUUUCUAUAUGAGAACCAGUUAUUCCUCACAUUUCGAAAUCGAACUGUCGCUGUGUGGAAUUUCCGUGGAGAGCUUGUCACUUCUUUUGAGGAUCACCUCUUGUGGCAUCCUGACUGCAAUACAAAUAACAUAUACAUAACUAGUGACCAGGAUCUCAUCAUAUCCUACUGCAAAGCUGAUUGUGAUGAUUCAGUGUCUGAAGGAAAUGCAGGUUCCAUCAAUGUCAGCAACAUUUUAACUGGCAAGUGUCUCGCCAAAAUACGAGCAAGUAACAGCCGCUACCCGAUUGAGAAGGAGUGCAGUUGCACUGACAAUUGUUCUGGUAGCAGUUGUAAUUCAAGGAAGCGAAAAUGUGUCUCCAGAAUUAGGAGCACAGUUGUUGAAGCCUUGGAAGACAUUACUGCCCUCUUUUACGAUGAAGAGCGCAAUGAGAUCUAUACAGGCAAUAGGCAUGGUCUAGUUCAUGUCUGGUCUAACUGAUGUGUGGGGUGAUGCCAGCCAGAUACAUGGUGAAGAUGCAAAAGCAAUUGAUAAUCAAAUACAAUAGUAGCUUUACGAUUUGCCAAGUACCAACCUUCUAAAUUUCUGUUACUCCAAUCUUUUAGUGGGUAUGAUAUCCUCUGUUAAAAAAUAUGUCAUUUCAUGUAUUACUACUUUGUGAACCGAAGCUUAGUUUCCAGUUUCACUAAAGCACAAUGCUAUUUGUAUACAAUUGUGCAAACUUAUAACAUUUGAUAGCUACUGGAAUUAGCAUAAUGCUACUUGUAUACAAUUGUUGUUUGGGUU
This 822-nucleotide long non-coding RNA is filed under the name Lupinus mutabilis. RNAcentral describes it as "partial ncRNA". The record is from RNAcentral. Lineage: Eukaryota; Viridiplantae; Streptophyta; Magnoliopsida; Fabales; Fabaceae.